AGAGCUUGUGCAGGAAAUCCUUGCGCCGGUCCGCGAUGCGGGCCUGAAUACGGGCCGCCUUCAACAUGGCCCUGCGGUGAUUGUUGCUUCCUUUCCGUUUGCGCGCCAGAUCGCGUUGCGCUUUCCCCAGGCGCUUGGCGUUCCUCUUGCGCAGCCCCGGGUUGUCGAUUUUCUCGCCGGUGGAGAGCGUGGCGAAGGAUUCCACGCCCAUGUCGACGCCGACCUUGCCUUCGGCUUUUGGCAACGCGGUGACGUGUUCCUCCACGAGGAUGCUCACAUGCCAGCGGCCAGCCGAAUCCAAGGAUAUGGUCACGUUGACCGGGUAUGCGCCGUCCGGCAACGGACGGCUCCAAUGGAUGUCGAGCGGCUUGUCCAUCUUGGCGAGCCUGAGAGUGCGGCCGUCCCAUGUGAACGCGCUACGAACGAACGUGGCGGCUCCGCCACGGGACUUCUUCUUGAACCUCGGAUAAUCCGCAGUACCGUCGAAGAAAUUGGAGAACGCCGCUUGCAAGUGGCGCAACGACUGCUGAAGCGCAACUGAAGACACUUCCCUGAGGAAGGCCAGCUCUUCG
RNAcentral lists this non-coding RNA (572 nucleotides) under Bifidobacterium gallicum. The record is from RNAcentral. Lineage: Bacteria; Bacillati; Actinomycetota; Actinomycetes; Bifidobacteriales; Bifidobacteriaceae.